AACGAACGCUGGCGGCAGGCUUUACACAUGCAAGUCGAGCGCCAAGAGACGGUCGCGGCCGGCGGGUGGGUGACGCGUGGGAUAGUACACCUAUCCGUGGCCUAGCUCCGGGAAAAAGGCAUUAAUACCGAUUGUGCCAUCUGGGGGAAAUGUUUGUCGGAUAAGGAUCGGCCAGCGUCGGAUUAGCUCGUGGGUGGGUUGAAGGCCUACGAAGGCGAGGAUCCAUAGAUGGUCUGAGAGGAAGAGCAGACACACUGGGCCUGGGACACGGCCCAGACUCCUACGGGAGGCAGCAGUGGGGAAUACUGGACAGCGGGCGCAAGGCUGAACCAGCCAGGCCGGGUGAGUGAUGAAGGCAGUAGGGAUGUAAAGCUCUCUCAUCGGAGAAGAUAAUGACGGUACCCGGAGAAGAAGCCCCGGCUAACUUCGUG
Molecule: ribosomal RNA, 431 nt
Filed under: uncultured bacterium
Lineage: Bacteria
Description: partial 16S ribosomal RNA
Rfam family: Bacterial small subunit ribosomal RNA
Source: RNAcentral